CGGUGAAUAGCGCAGCCUGGUAGCGCAUCUGCUUUGGGAGCAGAGGGUCGAGAGUUCGAAUCUCUCUUCACCGACCA
This 77-nucleotide transfer RNA is filed under the name Vibrio alginolyticus. RNAcentral's name for it is "tRNA-Pro". It matches the Rfam family "tRNA". Rfam says of the family: Transfer RNA (tRNA) molecules are approximately 80 nucleotides in length. Lineage: Bacteria; Pseudomonadati; Pseudomonadota; Gammaproteobacteria; Vibrionales; Vibrionaceae. RNAcentral also lists the same sequence under 16 other names. The record is from RNAcentral.